RNAcentral lists this ribosomal RNA (254 nucleotides) under uncultured bacterium. RNAcentral describes it as "partial 16S ribosomal RNA". It matches the Rfam family "Bacterial small subunit ribosomal RNA", at positions 524 to 776 of the family's 1533-position model. The record is from RNAcentral.
UACGUAGGCAGCAAGCGUUGUUCGGAAUUACUGGGCGUAAAGAGUGUGUAGGCGGUGCUCUAAGUUCGGUGUGAAAUCUCCCGGCUCAACUGGGAGGGUGCGCCGGAAACUGGAAUGCUUGAGCGUGGGAGAGGAAAGCGGAAUUCCUGGUGUAGCGGUGAAAUGCGUAGAUAUCAGGAGGAACACCUGCGGUGUAGACGGCUUUCUGGACCAUUGCUGACGCUGAGACACGAAAAGCGUGGGUAGCAAACAGG